GCUGGGCGUGUUGGCUCAUGCCUGUAAUCCCAGCACCUUGGGAGGCUGAGGUAGGUGGAUCACCUGAGGUUAGGAGUUCAAGACCAGCCUGACCAACAUGGUGAAACCCUGUCUCUA
Macaca mulatta (Rhesus monkey) is the source of this 117-nucleotide unclassified non-coding RNA. It matches the Rfam family "Metazoan signal recognition particle RNA". Rfam says of the family: The signal recognition particle (SRP) is a universally conserved ribonucleoprotein. The record is from Ensembl. NCBI's taxonomy places the organism in Eukaryota, Metazoa, Chordata, Mammalia, Primates, Cercopithecidae.